GGAGAGGUGGCCGAGAGGCCGAAGGCGCGCCCCUGCUAAGGGCGUAUGGGGAAACUCAUCGAGGGUUCGAAUCCCUCCCUCUCCGCCA
This 88-nucleotide transfer RNA is filed under the name Gammaproteobacteria bacterium. Its description in RNAcentral is "tRNA-Ser". It matches the Rfam family "tRNA". Rfam says of the family: Transfer RNA (tRNA) molecules are approximately 80 nucleotides in length. The record is from RNAcentral. Lineage: Bacteria; Pseudomonadati; Pseudomonadota; Gammaproteobacteria.